This 114-nucleotide ribosomal RNA is filed under the name Burkholderiales bacterium. The record is from RNAcentral. Lineage: Bacteria; Pseudomonadati; Pseudomonadota; Betaproteobacteria; Burkholderiales.
UCUGACGACCAUAGCGAGUUGGAACCACGCCUUCCCAUUCCGAACAGGACCGUGAAACGACUCAGCGCCGAUGAUAGUGCGGAUUACCCGUGCGAAAGUAGGACAUUGUCAGGC